CUAGUUUUUCUGCUAUUAACAUUGUACAUCCUCUCCAUUCACUCCCAAUCUCUCCCAUUCACCCAACAGCAGUAUCUUAAAGAAAGAAGCUUGUUCCUACAAAGCACACGCAGAGUAGGUUUGCAAAUAAUGAUAGUAUUAUGUGUUUCUUGUACUGUCUAUCGCUCACCAACAAUCCUGCUCACAUUUCAAUUUUAGGACUGGGAAUUCUAUUUAGGCUAUGGUUUUGUGUGUGACUGUGAGCCAGUUUGUUAUCCAGCAGCUGACAAUGGCAUAUUUUUUCUAUCUUGAUUAUUUUCUUGGGAUUUCUGGCCGUCCUGUUUAGGCUCCUGCUGCUGGCAGGUGGCUCCCACCAGCAUCCCAAUGAUGCAGGGAUUGAGAUGUUCCAGAAACGCCUGCCCAAGAAGGUUAGAGGGAAUUUCCACUUGGACAAAUACCUGCAAGGCACAGGACCUCAAAAACAUACGCCUUUGUAGACUAAUCUGUAGAAUGUAUUUUUUUUCCUAAGGGGUUCCUGCCGCAUUUCCCCCAAGCCUAUUUAAACACUUGAAUUUCUUUUCACAUCUAGACUAAUUUUGCCCAUUAUAGAUGAGUGUUCUUCAAGGAGGAAUUAUUUCGUGUAUGAAAAUAGUGAAACUGGAUAAAACAUGAAUACACCUUUAUUACAAGUGAAGUUUUUAGAUUAGCCCUGAACUAACUACUGCCAGUCGUCCUCUUUUUUGCUGAGGAAGCCUGGCCCUGAGCUAAUAUCCGUGCCCAUCUUCCUCUACUUUCUACGUGGGACGCCUACCACAGCAUAGCGUGCCAAGCGGUGCCAUGUCUGCACCUGGGAUCCCAACCAGAGAACCCUGGGCCACUGAGAAGCGGAACGUGAGAACUUAACCACUGCGCCACCGGGCUGGCCCCUACGUCAAUAAUUCUUUAAUCAGUAAUCCUGGUUGUCAUAUUCACAACCCAUUGACUAGUUUAUAUUCUCUCCAGUUAAGUGACCGUGCUACGUUUAGAAUACAAGUCAUUGUUCUUUGGGUCUGUCUCAGUGUGAGAAUAAAAUAUGCUCUCACAUUACCAUCACUUGUGGUAGGUUGUUACAAU
Molecule: long non-coding RNA, 1092 nt
Filed under: Equus asinus (donkey)
Lineage: Eukaryota; Metazoa; Chordata; Mammalia; Perissodactyla; Equidae
Description: lncRNA (ENSEASG00005030647.1)
Source: RNAcentral